AACGAACGCUGGCGGCAUGCCUAACACAUGCAAGUCGAACGAGACCUCCGGGUCUAGUGGCGCACGUGUGCGUACCGCGUGGGAACCUGCCCUUAGGUUCGGUAUAACUCCCCGAAAGGGGUGCUAAUAACGGAUAAUGUCUUCGGACCAAAGAUUGAUCGCCUUUGGAUGGGCCCGCGUUGGAUUAGCUAGUUGGUAGGGUAAUAGCAUAUCAAGGCGACGAUGCAGAGCUGGUCGGAGAGGAGGCUCAGCCGCACUGGGACUGCGACACGGCCCAGUCUGCUACGCAGGAGAGCAGAGGGGAACAUUAUGGGCUGGACGAUGGUCUGGUCAAGCAGUGCCGGGUAAGUGAUGAAGGCCUUAGGGUUGUGAAGCUCUUUUACCCGGAGUGAUAAUGACAGUACCGGGAAAAUAAGCACCGGCUAACUCCGUG
RNAcentral lists this ribosomal RNA (433 nucleotides) under uncultured bacterium. Its description in RNAcentral is "partial 16S ribosomal RNA". It matches the Rfam family "Bacterial small subunit ribosomal RNA", at positions 29 to 507 of the family's 1533-position model. The record is from RNAcentral.